UUUGUGUUUGACCUGAUUCUCGAACCACAGUUUGGUCCUUGAGAGACGACCUAGGAGUCAUUCCCUAGCUAUACCGCAUUUCUCAUAUGCAAUCAAAUUUGUACGGGCCGCGACACCCAUCAACCCCCAUCUACAAAUGAAGUCAGUUCUUUGAUCAUCAUCGUUGAACCAUCCAAAAGGGUCAGCCUCUCUUCUUGCGGACAUGGGACGUUUUCCUGGUCUUGAUGAUGAUGCAUCCAUUUGAGCAAGGAGGAAGAAGGGUUUUCACCAGAAUCAGAAUAAGGGUUUGCUUGCAAGAUUGUAUGUGAAUAUCUCAGACUAUGUCAUUCAUUUAUAGAUGAAAAACGCUCCAAGAGUUUUGCUUAAACCC
RNAcentral lists this long non-coding RNA (370 nucleotides) under Vigna radiata. Its description in RNAcentral is "long non-coding RNA (VRAD_LNC011220)". The record is from RNAcentral. Lineage: Eukaryota; Viridiplantae; Streptophyta; Magnoliopsida; Fabales; Fabaceae.